AAAUUGAAGAGUUUGAUCAUGGCUCAGAUUGAACGCUGGCGGCAGGCCUAACACAUGCAAGUCGAACGGUAACAGGAAUCAGCUUGCUGAUUUGCUGACGAGUGGCGGACGGGUGAGUAAUGUCUGGGGAACUGCCCGAUGGAGGGGGAUAACUACUGGAAACGGUAGCUAAUACCGCAUAACGUCGCAAGACCAAAGAGGGGGACCUUCGGGCCUCUUGCCAUCGGAUGUGCCCAGAUGGGAUUAGCUAGUAGGUGGGGUAA
Molecule: ribosomal RNA, 263 nt
Filed under: Escherichia coli
Lineage: Bacteria; Pseudomonadati; Pseudomonadota; Gammaproteobacteria; Enterobacterales; Enterobacteriaceae
Description: partial 16S ribosomal RNA
Rfam family: Bacterial small subunit ribosomal RNA
Source: RNAcentral